This 253-nucleotide ribosomal RNA is filed under the name uncultured bacterium. Its description in RNAcentral is "partial 16S ribosomal RNA". It matches the Rfam family "Bacterial small subunit ribosomal RNA", at positions 524 to 776 of the family's 1533-position model. The record is from RNAcentral.
UACGAAGGGUGCAAGCGUUACUCGGAAUUACUGGGCGUAAAGCGUGCGUAGGUGGUGAGUUAAGUCUGAUGUGAAAUCCCCGGGCUCAACCUGGGAAUGGCAUUGGAUACUGGCUCGCUCGAGUGCGGUAGAGGGUGGUGGAAUUCCCGGUGUAGCAGUGAAAUGCGUAGAGAUCGGGAGGAACAUCUGUGGCGAAGGCGGCCACCUGGACCAGCACUGACACUGAGGCACGAAAGCGUGGGGAGCAAACAGG